This 486-nucleotide ribosomal RNA is filed under the name uncultured bacterium. RNAcentral describes it as "bacterial SSU rRNA". It matches the Rfam family "Bacterial small subunit ribosomal RNA", at positions 28 to 507 of the family's 1533-position model. The record is from RNAcentral.
GACGAACGCUGGCGGCGUGCCUAACACAUGCAAGUCGAACGAAGCAUUUAAGUGGAUCCCUUCGGGGUGAAGGUUUUAUGACUUAGUGGCGGACGGGUGAGUAACGCGUGAGUAACCUGCCUUUCAGAGGGGGAUAACAGUUGGAAACGACUGCUAAUACCGCAUAACGUAUUUGAAUCGCAUGAUUCGGAUACCAAAGCUGAGGCGCUGAAAGAUGGACUCGCGUCUGAUUAGAUAGUUGGUGGGGUAACGGCCUACCAAGUCGACGAUCAGUAGCCGGACUGAGAGGUUGAUCGGCCACAUUGGGACUGAGACACGGCCCAGACUCCUACGGGAGGCAGCAGUGGGGAAUAUUGGGCAAUGGGGGGAAACCCUGACCCAGCAACGCCGCGUGAAGGAAGAAGGCCUUCGGGUUGUAAACUUACUUCUACCAGGGACGAACACAAUGACGGUACCUGGAGAAAAAGACAACGGCGUAACUACGUG